RNAcentral lists this ribosomal RNA (563 nucleotides) under uncultured bacterium. RNAcentral's name for it is "bacterial SSU rRNA". It matches the Rfam family "Bacterial small subunit ribosomal RNA", at positions 354 to 908 of the family's 1533-position model. The record is from RNAcentral.
GGGGGCUAUUUGGGAAUUGUGGGGGCAAGCCUGAUGCCAGCCAUGCCGCGUGCAGGAUGAAGGCCUUCGGGUUGUAAACUGCUUUUGUACGGAACGAAAAGGCUUUGGUUAAUACCCGGGGCUCAUGACGGUACCGUAAGAAUAAGCACCGGCUAACUACGUGCCAGCAGCCGCGGUAAUACGUAUGGUGCGAGCGUUAAUCGGAAUUACUGGGCGUAAAGCGUGCGCAGGCGGUGAUGUAAGACAGAUGUGAAAUCCCCGGGCUCAACCUGGGAACUGCAUUUGAGACUGCAUGGCUGGAGUGCGGCAGAGGGGGAUGGAAUUCCGCGUGUAGCAGUGAAAUGCGUAGAUAUGCGGAGGAACACCGAUGGCGAAGGCAAUCCCCUGGGCCUGCACUGACGCUCAUGCACGAAAGCGUGGGGAGCAAACAGGAUUAGAUACCCUGGUAGUCCACGCCCUAAACGAUGUCAACUGGUUGUUGGUCCUUCACUGAAUCAGUAACGAAGCUAACGCGUGAAGUUGACCGCCUGGGGAGUCGGCCCGCAAGGUUAAAACUCAAAGUU